Molecule: ribosomal RNA, 1969 nt
Filed under: Staphylococcus pseudintermedius
Lineage: Bacteria; Bacillati; Bacillota; Bacilli; Caryophanales; Staphylococcaceae
Description: partial 23S ribosomal RNA
Rfam family: Bacterial large subunit ribosomal RNA
Source: RNAcentral
CGAAAACGAAUUCUCUCUUGAGUGGAUCCUGAGUACGACGGAGCACGUGAAAUUCCGUCGGAAUCUGGGAGGACCAUCUCCUAAGGCUAAAUACUCUCUAGUGACCGAUAGUGAACCAGUACCGUGAGGGAAAGGUGAAAAGUACCCCGGAAGGGGAGUGAAAGAGAACUUGAAACCGUGUGCUUACAAGUAGUCAGAGCCCGUUAAUGGGUGAUGGCGUGCCUUUUGUAGAAUGAACCGGCGAGUUACGAUCUGAUGCAAGGUUAAGCAGAAAAUGUGGAGCCGUAGCGAAAGCGAGUCUGAAUAGGGCGAAUGAGUAUUUGGUCGUAGACCCGAAACCAGGUGAUCUACCCUUGGUCAGGUUGAAGUUCAGGUAACACUGAAUGGAGGACCGAACCGACUUACGUUGAAAAGUGAGCGGAUGAACUGAGGGUAGCGGAGAAAUUCCAAUCGAACUUGGAGAUAGCUGGUUCUCUCCGAAAUAGCUUUAGGGCUAGCCUCAAGUGAUGAUUAUUGGAGGUAGAGCACUGUUUGGACGAGGGGCCCCUCUCGGGUUACCGAAUUCAGACAAACUCCGAAUGCCAAAUAAUUUAACUUGGGAGUCAGAAUGUGGGUGAUAAGGUCCAUAUUCGAAAGGGAAACAGCCCAGACCACCAGCUAAGGUCCCAAAAUAUAUGUUAAGUGGAAAAGGAUGUGGCGUUGCCCAGACAACUAGGAUGUUGGCUUAGAAGCAGCCAUCAUUUAAAGAGUGCGUAAUAGCUCACUAGUCGAGUGACACUGCGCCGAAAAUGUACCGGGGCUAAACAUAUUACCGAAGCUGUGGAUUGUCCUUUGGACAAUGGUAGGAGAGCGUUCUAAGGGCGUUGAAGCAUGAUCGCAAGGACAUGUGGAGCGCUUAGAAGUGAGAAUGCCGGUGUGAGUAGCGAAAGACGGGUGAGAAUCCCGUCCACCGAUUGACUAAGGUUUCCAGAGGAAGGCUCGUCCGCUCUGGGUUAGUCGGGUCCUAAGCUGAGGCCGACAGGCGUAGGCGAUGGAUAACAGGUUGAUAUUCCUGUACCACCAUUAUUCGUUUUAAGCGAUGGGGGGACGCAGUAGGAUAGGCGAAGCGUGCUGUUGGAGUGCACGUCCAAGCAGUGAGAUUGAGUGUUAGGCAAAUCCGGCACUCUUAAGAUUGAGCUGUGAUGGGGAGAGGAACUUGUUCCUCGAGUCGUUGAUUUCACACUGCCGAGAAAAGCCUCUAGCUAGAAUAACGGUGCCCGUACCGCAAACCGACACAGGUAGUCAAGAUGAGAAUUCUAAGGUGAGCGAGCGAACUCUCGUUAAGGAACUCGGCAAAAUGACCCCGUAACUUCGGGAGAAGGGGUGCUCUUUGAGGUUCACGCUUCGAAGAGCCGCAGUGAAUAGGCCCAAGCGACUGUUUAUCAAAAACACAGGUCUCUGCUAAACCGUAAGGUGACGUAUAGGGGCUGACGCCUGCCCGGUGCUGGAAGGUUAAGAGGAGUGGUUAGCGCAAGCGAAGCUACGAAUCGAAGCCCCAGUAAACGGCGGCCGUAACUAUAACGGUCCUAAGGUAGCGAAAUUCCUUGUCGGGUAAGUUCCGACCCGCACGAAAGGCGUAACGAUUUGGGCACUGUCUCAACGAGAGACUCGGUGAAAUCAUAGUACCGGUGAAGAUGCCGGUUACCCGCGACAGGACGGAAAGACCCCGUGGAGCUUUACUGUAGCCUGAUAUUGAAAUUCGGUACAGUUUGUACAGGAUAGGUAGGAGCCUUAGAAGCGUGAGCGCUAGCUUACGUGGAGGCAUUGGUGGGAUACUACCCUAAUUGUAUUGGAUUUCUAACCCGCAGCACUUAUCGUGCUGGGAGACAGUGUCAGGCGGGCAGUUUGACUGGGGCGGUCGCCUCCUAAAGAGUAACGGAGGCGCUCAAAGGUUCCCUCAGAAUGGUUGGAAAUCAUUCAUAGAGUGUAA